UGCCACAGACGAAGGGUAAGCGUUGUUUGGCAGAAGAGUUUUCUCUGUUGCAGAACAUAGAGGAUUUGCCAAAAUUAUCGUCAUCAAAUGAAAAGGCUCCAGUAGCUUUAUUGCAAUUUGUUUGGCAAUAGCCUCUAUGUUCUUUGAAUGUAAAAACUCUUCUCUUAAACAAUGCCCACCCUUCAUCUCUGGACA
Molecule: microRNA precursor, 195 nt
Filed under: Picea abies (Norway spruce)
Lineage: Eukaryota; Viridiplantae; Streptophyta; Pinopsida; Pinales; Pinaceae
Description: miR3701b stem-loop (pab-MIR3701b)
Source: miRBase by way of RNAcentral